RNAcentral lists this ribosomal RNA (164 nucleotides) under Oxalis psoraleoides. RNAcentral describes it as "5.8S ribosomal RNA". It matches the Rfam family "5.8S ribosomal RNA". Rfam says of the family: 5.8S ribosomal RNA (5.8S rRNA) is a component of the large subunit of the eukaryotic ribosome. It is transcribed by RNA polymerase I as part of the 45S precursor that also contains 18S and 28S rRNA. The record is from RNAcentral. Lineage: Eukaryota; Viridiplantae; Streptophyta; Magnoliopsida; Oxalidales; Oxalidaceae.
GAAACGACUCUCGACAACGGAUAUCUCGGCUCUCGCAUCGAUGAAGAACGUAGCGAAAUGCGAUACUUGGUGUGAAUUGCAGAAUCCCGUGAACCAUCGAGUCUUUGAACGCAAGUUGCGCCCGAAGCCUUUAGGCCGAGGGCACGCCUGCCUGGGUGUCACAC